This 460-nucleotide ribosomal RNA is filed under the name uncultured bacterium. Its description in RNAcentral is "partial 16S ribosomal RNA". It matches the Rfam family "Bacterial small subunit ribosomal RNA", at positions 338 to 795 of the family's 1533-position model. The record is from RNAcentral.
CCUACGGGAGGCAGCAGUGAGGAAUAUUGGUCAAUGGACGAGAGUCUGAACCAGCCAAGUAGCGUGAAGGAUGACUGCCCUAUGGGUUGUAAACUUCUUUUAUAUGGGAAUAAAAUGUUCCACGUGUGGGAUUUUGUAUGUACCCUAUGAAUAAGGAUCGGCUAACUCCGUGCCAGCAGCCGCGGUAAUACGGAGGAUCCGAGCGUUAUCCGGAUUUAUUGGGUUUAAAGGGAGCGUAGGUGGAUUGUUAAGUCAGUUGUGAAAGUUUGCGGCUCAACCGUAAAAUUGCAGUUGAAACUGGCAGUCUUGAGUACAGUAGAGGUGGGCGGAAUGCGUGGUGUAGCGGUGAAAUGCUUAGAUAUCACGAAGAACUCCGAUUGCGAAGGCAGUUCACUGGACUGCAACUGACACUGAGGCUCGAAAGUGUGGGUAUCAAACAGGAUUAGAUACCCUUGUAGUC